CCUGUAAUCUCCUCCCCUUGGGUUUUUCCUUCCUGUACAGAGAGAUAACCUUCUCCUUUAGAAGGUUCGGAGCAACGCAGCCCCUUCUCAAAGUCAGGGGCCGCCCUCUCAGAGAACCAGGCAUGCUGAGAAGGAAGUGGUAAAGGGGACUGAGAGGAAGGUGCCGAGAGGACGGAGAAGAUGGGGAACUAUCUGUUGAGGGAAUGCAGACUGUGGCUACAGCCGAGGCCUAUCACUGGCCCGACACAAUCACCUGAGAGUUGGUCAGGGAAGCGGUGCCUCAAGUUGAGUUGAAACAGGAACAAUAAUCUCAGAGGCGGUGCGCUCUCUUCAAACAGGAAAGCCUCAGAAGCCAGAAAGAAACAGGCUACUAAUGUAGAGAAAGAACCCUGAAUCACACUGCAAAUCCCAAAGUCUCUACAUUUCUGUCACUUGCACAGAGGAUUUACAGCUGAGGUGAUCACAUCAUUUAUCAUCCAAAGUAGGACAUCUUUGAGA
This 498-nucleotide long non-coding RNA is filed under the name Dasypus novemcinctus (nine-banded armadillo). RNAcentral describes it as "lncRNA (ENSDNOG00000052353.1)". Lineage: Eukaryota; Metazoa; Chordata; Mammalia; Cingulata; Dasypodidae. The record is from RNAcentral.